Molecule: small nucleolar RNA, 108 nt
Organism: Lactuca sativa (garden lettuce)
Lineage: Eukaryota; Viridiplantae; Streptophyta; Magnoliopsida; Asterales; Asteraceae
Source: RefSeq, a predicted model, not a curated record
AGAUCAUUUUGGGGGCAAUUUUGAAGUAAUCCCUUUGUAACGCUCUCAUGUUCUGUAAAGUGAUUCACCCGGUUGUUGCUUAAAGUUGGCUAUCGCCUUCUUGAUUUU